Molecule: long non-coding RNA, 2474 nt
Organism: Lathyrus oleraceus (garden pea)
Lineage: Eukaryota; Viridiplantae; Streptophyta; Magnoliopsida; Fabales; Fabaceae
Exons: 2
Source: RefSeq, a predicted model, not a curated record
GUAAGGGAUUGGGUCAAGAACCCGUUGAUAUGUGUAUGAGGUGUGUAUAGGAGAAUCCAUUUGGGCCCGAGCCCACACAGAUUCACACCGUCAACGGUCCAAAAGAGUCGGAUCUGGCCAGGAUGCAAACGAAUUGGGUUUCACAUGAACCACUCCAAAAGCUCAGCUUAUCAAAAAGGCAAAUUCUCCCUAACGCUCACGAAUCGAACGAAUCGCCGCCGUCGACCGGAAUAAAAUGCCAUGGAGUCAUAUCACAUCGCAUCUCCUCAUGGAUGAAGCUUCAACUUCUCACAAAGAGCCAAGACGAAAAUUCGAAUGCGCUUCCAAAGUCAAGGUCGAAAACCGAAUGCUGAAUCGCAACUUUGCAUAAAACGGAAGCGAUCGAAGAUUGGAAUCGUACCGAAUUCGUGCUUUGUGCGGAGACGAAGAUGAAGAUGAAUUCCUGCGCGUUCGCCUUUAUGGAUUGAGAUGAGGAGAACGAAGUUAUUGUUGAUGCGUGAUGAAGUGCGAAAACGGAAUCACGAAUCGAAUCGUUAGAGAAGAGCACGUGAUGAUGCAUUGAAUAUGAGGAACUUGGUCUCAGAGUCGAGGAUCGUUGUUGUGCGAGUUGAGGUUGAAGCGACGAUUCUGCGAGCAUUCAGCCACGGAAGUUCAUUGCAGAGAUUGCAGAAGGAAUUUGGUUGGAGGUUUUGGGGAGAGAAAAAGAUUGAAGGUGAAGAAGAAGAUUGAAGGAAUCACAAACUGGUGGAGCACGGAAGCACGAAUAGGUCGGAGUAAUCGUAGCUUGAAGACAUGAUGUCAUGAGCUACGAUAAAUUGAAGCAACUUACCGGAAUAAAGCGACGCGGAGGUUCUGGUGUCGUCGAUGUCGAUGCCGUUCACAUGUGAUUUUCUUUAUGUGCUUUUUACAAUUUCUUCUUUCUUCUUCUUCUGAAUUCGUGAGCGGUGAACAGCUUCGAAGCUUCAAUGGCUUAUCUGAAAUCAAUGGCUUAUCUGAAAUAGAAAAACAAAAAGAGCUCUGGUGAGGGUGAGGGAGAAGGUUGCAAGAGAGAGUGCAGGUUUAAGCCAAAAAAUGACAAGGGCUCAAAAUGUGAGUGAUCAAUCCCUUAAAUAGAGUUAAGGCUGGGAUUUGCUAGCUUUGGAUUGAGGUUAGGAAUUAGUUGAGGGUGGCUUGGAGUUAGUUAGGGACUACUCACUGAGUUAGCUGAUAACUCAGUUAGUUAGUGAGCAAACUCAGUUAGUUAGGGACUUUGUUAUUGAAUGAAAAUUGAAAAAUCCGUUUUCUGAAGUUGAAGUUAGCUUUAAAGUCAGUUAAGAAUUAAUUUUGGAUUAGUUAGUUGAGUGUUAGUAAACCUUUUUAAACUCUGUUAUGCCAAUGUUAGCAAGUUGUUAGGUUAGGUUGUUUGAUGUGUUAUUGAUGCUGAAUUUUGCAGGGUUGAUAGUUUGCUAAUGAGAAUGCAGAGUUGGUUAGAAUUCUAUUAUGGAUGUUGAAAACAGUGGGAAUGUUACAAGUUAAAAAUUCUGUUAUAUCCUUUUUUUAGUUCUGUUAGGAGUUUUCUAAUCAUUUCUAUCCUGCAAAGAUGCAGAUGUUGCAACUCCAUGAGAGGUUUUGAAACUCUCUCUAUUUGGAGAUGGAGCUCUUGCUGCAAGUGCUUGCUUUAGGUCCAGCAAUUCUUGCCUCUGUGAACGGCAAAUAGCAGUGGAUUUGUUACCGUGCCCGGAGUUCAGCUUUGUGUUAUCAAAUUCUGCAACAAAGGUGUUAAAAGACUGGUCUUGGAAAUUAGUAUUCUUCUCCAGAUUUGACAUAUGCCUCUGACUUGCAUGAUCUUUAUCUGGGAAAAAAUUAAUUUCAAAGUCCUUGGAAGAUGCAACUUCGGGCUUGUGUAACUUCCCAUGUACACUGCUUUUUGCAGUCUGAGUUUGUGUGUUGGCCACUUUGUUCGUACCAACAUUUUUGGGUAACUGAUCAUUGUCGGGACGAAUUCUAUCAUGUUAUGAAAUGAAAGUGAUAUGCAAUGAACUUGAAGUUGUCAUGGAUUUAUGGCUUGUUUGGGACAUGUUACGCAACAUGUUUAUGGACCUUAUCCAAGUCAACUAUACCGUAUGCGCCUGGACCGUUUGGGAAAGCUAGCAACGGUGACGCGACAUUGUGUGGUACAGUUCUGUAGUUAAUGUUAAUUGGAGAUUGGUUGUUAGUUUUGUUUCCGUGUAUUGACGCUUUAUUAAUGAAUGCAGGUUUUGGUGUAAUGGUUAAUGAGCAAAUUAAAAAACAGUUAGUCUGAUUUGAAGGAAUGUGAUGUAAUGUUAUAAAGUUUUUAAAAAUGAUUUUGCAACUUUGGAUAGUUACAGGGAUAGGUUGAAUUGCGAAGUUAGAGAUUUGAUGCAGGGUUAAUGUUUUCUUCUUCUGGUUCAGAUUAGUUGUAGGGGUUCAAUGUGGCCCAAUGUGUUGUAAACUGUUAUGCAUUUGGUUCUGUA